AUGCAGAAGGGAGUGGGAGAAGAGGAAUUGGGCUGGGCAGGGGGAAGGCCAAGCGGGAUCCAGAUCCAGAGAGAAAACACCGAGACCUCCCACCCCGUCUUUCACGUCAAGCCGCACUCCACCGCACCUUAUUCUGGGCCCGUUGCCUGGGUUCGGCAGGCCCGCCGCCCGAGUUCCUUUCUGGUUUGGGUCUCCGGGGCGGCCCCAGAACUGGCCACCCGUCCCCCCACCAGGAUGGGGGGGGGGGUGCAGUGGAGACAUCCCAACCCCCUCCCAACCCCCUCCCAAAUCCCUCCCAACCCCCUUGUCCCCUUCCUCUCCCCCCUCCUAAAUCCCUCCCCCCCUUCCCUCUCCCUCUCCCCACCCCUUCUGCCCUCCCUCUCCGGCUCCCAAAUCCCUCCCACCCCCUCCCUCCCCAUCUCUCCAACCCCCUUCUCCCCUCCCUCUCCCCCUCCCAAAUCCUCCCAACCCCGUCUCCCUCCCUCUCUCUCCCUUCCAAAUCCCUCCCUCUCUCUCCCUCCCCCUUCCCUCUACCUCUCCCAACCCCCUUCUCCCCUCCCUCUCCCCCUCCCAAAUCCCUCCCAGCCCUCCCUCCCCCAUCCCUCCCAACCCUCUCCCAACCCCCUUCUCCCCUCCCUCUCCCCCCUCCCAAAUCCCUCCUUCCCCCUUCCCUCUCCCCCUCCCAAAUCCCUCCCAGCCCUCCCUCCCCCAUCCCUCCCAACCCUCUCCCAACCCCCUUCUCCCCUCCCUCUCCCCCCUCCCAAAUCCCUCCUUCCCCCUUCCCUCUCCCCCUCCCAAAUCCCUCCCAGCCCUCCCUCCUCUCCCAACCCCCUUCUCCCCUCCUUCUCCCCCUCCCAAAUCCCUCCCACCCCUCCCUCCCCCUUUCUCCCCUCCCUCUCCCCGCUCCCCAACCCUUCCCCCCUCUCCCUCCCCCAUCCCUCCCAACCCUCUCCCCCUCCCCCUGGUCUACUCCCCCUCCUCCCAGCCCCCUUCUCCCGCCUCCCCCAUGCCACCCAGCCCCCUCCCCUCUCCCCCUGCUCAUUCAUUCAUUCAUUCAAUAGCAUUAAUUGA
RNAcentral lists this long non-coding RNA (1071 nucleotides) under Ornithorhynchus anatinus (platypus). RNAcentral's name for it is "lncRNA (ENSOANG00000049424.1)". The record is from RNAcentral. Lineage: Eukaryota; Metazoa; Chordata; Mammalia; Monotremata; Ornithorhynchidae.